UGAAGAAUGGUACACAACGCAUUUUACACGCGAACACUCUUCCCGGAGAAAGAGCCCACUGAGAGAUUUGGAACAACAUGCAGCUGUGAGGCCAGCGCUUGGCCGGCCUGGCCUUCCUUGCAAGCUGCUACACUGAAGAGAAAAACCUGAGGAAGCCCCUAACCUUCUUGAAUAACCUGGAUGUUGCAGAAUCAAGCCUGGCACAGGGCACUGGCAGAGAUGCAGAAGGGAGAGUGUCCAGCGAUGAGAGAGAUACGGGCCAGGGGGCAAAUCUUCAGCUUGCAGCACUCCCUUUGCAGAUCCAGUUGGAAUUACUUGUAUUGACGCUGUCUGCUCUCUCCACUGUCCCCUGAAAAUGACGAG
Long non-coding RNA from Symphalangus syndactylus (siamang), 363 nucleotides. RefSeq lists it as uncharacterized. The record is from RefSeq and is a predicted model, not a curated record. Lineage: Eukaryota; Metazoa; Chordata; Mammalia; Primates; Hylobatidae.